GAUGUUUGCAAAUAAAUAAUAUAAAAUAAUAAGGCCAGGUGUGGUGGCUCACACCUGCAAACCCAGGACCUUGGGACACUGACGUGGGCAGAUUGCUUGAGCCCAGGAAUUUGAGACCAGCCUCGGCAACAUGGUGAGACCCUGUUUCUACAAAAAGUGUAAAAAUCAGCCAGGUGUGGUGGCACAUGCCUAUAAUCCCAGGUACUCAGCAGGCUAAGGUGGGAGGAUCACCUGAGCCCAGGGAGUUUGAGGUUGCAGUGAGCUGUGAUCACACCACUGCAUUGUAGCGUGAGUGACAGAGUGAGACCCUGUCUCAAAAAGCAAAUAAACAAAUAAAAUCAAAAUAAUAAUAGGGAAAUGCCCUUGGUCCACAGACUCAGCUGUCUUCCAGAUGCUAGUCAUUGGUGAAUGAACAACAAGAGAGCCUGCACUGUCUUGUGUGAAGGUCUAGGUAUUUUGGGUCUUUGUCUUGAUAAAAUCAGAAUAGACGUGGCCUCUCACUAUCAGCUAGGAAGCAGUUUGAACUUGGAGUAUCAGAGGGUUGCUCUUUUUGCCAAGCCUCUGGCUUCAAUCCUUGCCUGGGGAUGGCAGUGCUGCUGAGGGAAGGAAGUGGGGAACACUGUGAGUGCAAGGACAGGUGAGGCAGGCACAGACGGCUGUCCCAAGGGAAAGUGCUCCAUCAGCUGUGCCAGGAGAGAAGCAGCUCUUGGGUCCGUGUUUCUGCCUUAGAAGGCAGGAGUUGGGCAUCUAGCUCCAGCACUCAUCCCUCUUGAAACUGCUGGUUUGUUUACUUUCAUUGCAACUAUAUGCCUGGAAGAGAUGAAGAGAAAGCUCAACAGGCUUCACUAGGAUUGUUUGGGU
Molecule: long non-coding RNA, 861 nt
Filed under: Homo sapiens (human)
Lineage: Eukaryota; Metazoa; Chordata; Mammalia; Primates; Hominidae
Description: long non-coding RNA NONHSAT234973
Source: RNAcentral